This 253-nucleotide ribosomal RNA is filed under the name uncultured bacterium. RNAcentral's name for it is "partial 16S ribosomal RNA". It matches the Rfam family "Bacterial small subunit ribosomal RNA", at positions 524 to 776 of the family's 1533-position model. The record is from RNAcentral.
UACGUAGGGUGCAAGCGUUGUCCGGAAUUAUUGGGCGGAAAGAGCUCGUAGGCGGUCUGUCGCGUCGGCUGUGAAAACUCGGGGCUCAACCCCGAGCCUGCAGUCGAUACGGGCAGACUAGAGUGCGGUAGGGGAGACUGGAAUUCCUGGUGUAGCGGUGAAAUGCGCAGAUAUCAGGAGGAACACCGGUGGCGAAGGCGGGUCUCUGGGCCAUCACUGACGCUGAGGAGCGAAAGCGUGGGGAGCGAACAGG